AGCCCCUAGCGCAGACGGCGGAGAGCAGAGAGGGAGCGCGCCUUGGCUCGCUGGCCUUGGCGGCGGCUCCUCAGGAGAGCUGGGGCGCCCACGAGAGGAUCCCUCACCCGGGUCUCUCCUCAGGGAUGACAUCAUCCGUCCACCUCCUUGUCUUCAAGGACCACCUCCUCUCCAUGCUGAGCUGCUGCCAAGGGGCCUGCUGCCCAUCUACACCUCACGAGGGCACUAGGAGCACGGUUUCCUGGAUCCCACCAACAUACAAAGCAGCCACUCACUGACCCCCAGGACCAGGAUGGCAAAGGAUGAAGAGGACCGGAACUGACCAGCCAGCUGUCCCUCUUACCUAAAGACUUAAACCAAUGCCCUAGUGAGGGGGCAUUGGGCAUUAAGCCCUGACCUUUGCUAUGCUCAUACUUUGACUCUAUGAGUACUUUCCUAUAAGUCUUUGCUUGUGUUCACCUGCUAGCAAACUGGAGUGUUUCCCUCCCCAAGGGGGUGUCAGUCUUUGUCGACUGACUCUGUCAUCACCCUUAUGAUGUCCUGAAUGGAAGGAUCCCUUUGGGAAAUUCUCAGGAGGGGGACCUGGGCCAAGGGCUUGGCCAGCAUCCUGCUGGCAACUCCAAGGCCCUGGGUGGGCUUCUGGAAUGAGCAUGCUACUGAAUCACCAAAGGCACGCCCGACCUCUCUGAAGAUCUUCCUAUCCUUUUCUGGGGGAAUGGGGUCGAUGAGAGCAACCUCCUAGGGUUGUUGUGAGAAUUAAAUGAGAUAAAAGAGGCCUCAGGCAGGAUCUGGCAUAGAGGAGGUGAUCAGCAAAUGUUUGUUGAAAAGGUUUGACAGGUCAGUCCCUUCCCACCCCUCUUGCUUGUCUUACUUGUCUUAUUUAUUCUCCAACAGCACUCCAGGCAGCCCUUGUCCACGGGCUCUCCUUGCAUCAGCCAAGCUUCUUGAAAGGCCUGUCUACACUUGCUGUCUUCCUUCCUCACCUCCAAUUUCCUCUUCAACCCACUGCUUCCUGACUCGCUCUACUCCGUGGAAGCACGCUCACAAAGGGCUAAUCUCGGGCCUUGUCGAAGGAAGAGGCUGCAGACGUUAAUGAGGUUAGCUGCUGGAUUCCAGUAUUCGUCGCAUAAGGAUCCUUCUUUGUCUGCGAAGGAAAAACACACUGAUUAUCAUAAUGAGGCACGUGGGCCGUGGCCCGGCUGGGUCGGCUGAAGAACUGCGGAUGGAAGCUGCGGAAGAGGCCCUGAUGGGGCCCACCAUCCCGGACCCAAGUCUUCUUCCUGGCGGGCCUCUCGUCUCCUUCCUGGUUUGGGCGGAAGCCAUCACCUGGAUGCCUACGUGGGAAGGGACCUCGAAUGUGGGACCCCAGCCCCUCUCCAGCUCGAAAUCCCUCCACAGCCACGGGGACACCCUGCACCUAUUCCCACGGGACAGGCUGGACCCAGAGACUCUGGACCCGGGGCCUCCCCUUGAGUAGAGACCCGCCCUCUGACUGAUGGACGCCGCUGACCUGGGGUCAGACCCGUGGGCUGGACCCCUGCCCACCCCGCAGGAACCCUGAGGCCUAGGGGAGCUGUUGAGCCUUCAGUGUCUGCAUGUGGGAAGUGGGCUCCUUCACCUACCUCACAGGGCUGUUGUGAGGGGCGCUGUGAUGCGGUUCCAAAGCACAGGGCUUGGCGCACCCCACUGUGCUCUCAAUAAAUGUGUUUCCUGUCUUAACAA
Molecule: long non-coding RNA, 1722 nt
Filed under: Homo sapiens (human)
Lineage: Eukaryota; Metazoa; Chordata; Mammalia; Primates; Hominidae
Description: non-protein coding lnc-DLK1-35:9
Rfam family: Maternally expressed 3 conserved region 2 (bases 536-640)
Source: RNAcentral